GAUAUUUCACUAUCAACAAAGAUAGAGUACAGAUGAAUACAACAAAACUUCACAAGAAAGUUAUCUCUCAAACUCACUCUAAACUUCUAUCUCAAGAAAACACUAAAAACUAGACAAAAAGUGAUUUCUGAAGUUGUAGGAGAAGUGGA
Juglans microcarpa x Juglans regia is the source of this 149-nucleotide long non-coding RNA. RefSeq lists it as uncharacterized. The record is from RefSeq and is a predicted model, not a curated record. The transcript is spliced from 3 exons. Lineage: Eukaryota; Viridiplantae; Streptophyta; Magnoliopsida; Fagales; Juglandaceae.